Molecule: ribosomal RNA, 621 nt
Filed under: uncultured Actinobacteridae bacterium
Lineage: Bacteria; Bacillati; Actinomycetota; Actinomycetes
Description: bacterial SSU rRNA
Rfam family: Bacterial small subunit ribosomal RNA
Source: RNAcentral
GUGGGGUAACGGCCUACCAAGGCAACGACGGGUAGCCGGUACGAGAGGACGAUCGGCCACACUGGGACUGAGACACUGCCCAGACUCCUACGGGAGGCUGCAGUCGAGAAUCUUCCGCAAUGGGAGAAAGCCAGACGGAGCGACACCGCGUGCAGGAUGAAGGCCUUAGGGUUGUAAACCGCUGUCACGCUAUAGGAAAGCUUUGUAGUUAAUAGUUGCAGGACUGACCAAAGCGAGAGGAAGAGCCGGGUAAGUCCGUGCCAGCAGCCGCGGUAAGACGGAGGGCUCUAACGUUGUUCGGAAUUACCGGGCAUAAAGCGCACGUAGGCGUCGUGCUAAGUUGGAUGUGAAAGCCCUCGGCCCAACCGGGGAACUUCAUUUGAUAGUGGCAGGCUCGAGGACGGCAGGGGUAAGUGGAACUCCAGGUGGAACGGUGAAAUGUGUAGAUAUCUGGAGGAACACCGGUGGCGAAAGCGGCUUACUGGGCCGUCUUUGACGCUGAGGUGCGAAAGCUAGGGGAGCGAACGGGAUUAGAUACCCCGGUAGUCCUAGCCGUAAACGAUGGGCACUAGGCAAUGGAUCAUCCUAUGGGGUUCAUUGCCGUAGGUCAUGUGUUAAGUG